CCCUUAGAUGUUCUGGGCCGCACGCGCGCUACACUGAUGCAUUCAACGAGUCUAAAACCUGCUCUGAUAGGGGUGGGUAAUCUUUUGAAUGUGCAUCGUGAUUGGGAUAGAUGAUUGCAAUUUUUCAUCUUCAACGAGGAAUGCCUAGUAAACGCAAGUCAUCAGCUUGCAUUGAUUACGUCCCUGCCCUUUGUACACACCGCCCGUCGCUCCUACCGAUUGAAUGAUCCGAUGAAUAUCAUGGAUUGAGGAUUAUAGCAGGUUCGCCUGUCUUGAUCUUCGAGAAGUGAAGUAAAUCUUAUCAUUUAGAGGAAGGAGAAGUCGUAGCA
This 329-nucleotide ribosomal RNA is filed under the name uncultured eukaryote. Its description in RNAcentral is "partial 18S ribosomal RNA". It matches the Rfam family "Eukaryotic small subunit ribosomal RNA", at positions 1470 to 1796 of the family's 1831-position model. The record is from RNAcentral.